CCCUUAGAUGUUCGGGGCCGCACGCGCGCUACACUGAAGGAAUCAGCACGUCUUUCUCCUUGUCCGAAAGGACUGGGUAACCCGCUGAACCUCCUUCGUGCCAGGGAUUGGGGCUUGUAAUUCUUCCCCAUGAACGAGGAAUUCCCAGUAAGCGCGAGUCAUAAGCUCGCGUUGAUUACGUCCCUGCCCUUUGUACACACCGCCCGUCGCUACUACCGAUUGGAUGGUUUAGUGAGAUCCUCGGAUUGGUCCCGGAGCGGCCUCUGGUCGUGCCGGAGUGCCGAAAAGAAUGUCGAACUUGAUCAUCUAGAGGAAGUAAAAGUCGUAACA
Molecule: ribosomal RNA, 330 nt
Filed under: uncultured eukaryote
Lineage: Eukaryota
Description: partial 18S ribosomal RNA
Rfam family: Eukaryotic small subunit ribosomal RNA
Source: RNAcentral